GCCAUCUUAGCUCAGCGGUAGAGCAACGCUUUUGUAAAGCGAAGGUCCUGGGUUCAAAUCCCAGAGAUGGCU
This 72-nucleotide transfer RNA is filed under the name Candidatus Woesebacteria bacterium. RNAcentral describes it as "tRNA-Thr". It matches the Rfam family "tRNA". Rfam says of the family: Transfer RNA (tRNA) molecules are approximately 80 nucleotides in length. Their secondary structure includes four short double-helical elements and three loops (D, anti-codon, and T loops). Further hydrogen bonds mediate the characteristic L-shaped molecular structure. tRNAs have two regions of fundamental functional importance: the anti-codon, which is responsible for specific mRNA codon recognition, and the 3' end, to which the tRNAs corresponding amino acid is attached (by aminoacyl-tRNA synthetases). tRNAs cope with the degeneracy of the genetic code in two manners: having more than one tRNA (with a specific anti-codon) for a particular amino acid; and 'wobble' base-pairing, i.e. permitting non-standard base-pairing at the 3rd anti-codon position. Lineage: Bacteria; Candidatus Woeseibacteriota. The record is from RNAcentral.